RNAcentral lists this long non-coding RNA (200 nucleotides) under Gossypium barbadense (sea-island cotton). Its description in RNAcentral is "long non-coding RNA (GBAR_LNC016466)". The record is from RNAcentral. Lineage: Eukaryota; Viridiplantae; Streptophyta; Magnoliopsida; Malvales; Malvaceae.
UGAUAAUCACACUAGUCAUGUCACCAUCGAAAUUCUAAUUAUCCCAAACAAAAUCAGAAAAAUUCGGAUGGUACAGCCAUCUAGUUAAAAACUAGAAGGGACGCUCGAACAGGGAAUUAAGAGCAAAACAAAUAUUUCAGAAACAAUAGUCUAUGAUCUUAUUUAAUUAUUGGGAGAUAAGUAACCAAACAAUUUAGAAA